CAACAAAUGAAUGUCCUUAUGGAGGCAGUCAAAACCCUCCAGCAACUGCAAACCCAGCCACCACAACCGUCGGUGGAGCAACUAGUAGCGCAUUCAGCGCCUUCCAAGCAUAGCCAUCAUCUUCUGCGAUGAUCUCCGUCUCCUCUACUAGAGCGACGAUCUCGGCUCUCUCAACGGGUUGAGCAGCGGCACUCAUGGCAAUCUCGACACGCCACCCACCAUUCACGGUGCCUCUCUUCUUCCCAGUU
This 248-nucleotide long non-coding RNA is filed under the name Elaeis guineensis (African oil palm). RNAcentral's name for it is "long non-coding RNA (EGUI_LNC001206)". Lineage: Eukaryota; Viridiplantae; Streptophyta; Magnoliopsida; Arecales; Arecaceae. The record is from RNAcentral.